Molecule: ribosomal RNA, 208 nt
Filed under: uncultured bacterium
Lineage: Bacteria
Description: partial 16S ribosomal RNA
Rfam family: Bacterial small subunit ribosomal RNA
Source: RNAcentral
UACGUAGGCGGCCCAUUAAGUCAGAUGUGAAAGCCCGGAGCUCAACUCCGGGAUUGCAUUUGAAACUGGUGGGCUAGAGUACAGGAGAGGAAAGUGGAAUUCCUAGUGUAGCGGUGAAAUGCGUAGAUAUUAGGAAGAACACCAGUGGCGAAGGCGGCUUUCUGGACUGUAACUGACGCUGAGGUAACGAAAGCGUGGGGAGCGAACA